Molecule: ribosomal RNA, 188 nt
Filed under: uncultured Chlamydiales bacterium
Lineage: Bacteria; Pseudomonadati; Chlamydiota; Chlamydiia; Chlamydiales
Description: partial 16S ribosomal RNA
Rfam family: Bacterial small subunit ribosomal RNA
Source: RNAcentral
CCAACACUGGGACUGAGAUACUGCCCAGACUCCUACGGGAGGCUGCAGUCGAGAAUCUUUCGCAAUGGGCGAAAGCCUGACGAAGCGACGCCGUGUGAGUGAAGAAGGCCUUCGGGUUGUAAAGCUCUUUCGCCGACGAACAAGAGACCAAAACUAAUACUUUUGGAAUUUGAGGGUACUCGGUAAAG